RNAcentral lists this ribosomal RNA (327 nucleotides) under uncultured Alphaproteobacteria bacterium. Its description in RNAcentral is "bacterial SSU rRNA". It matches the Rfam family "Bacterial small subunit ribosomal RNA", at positions 29 to 358 of the family's 1533-position model. Lineage: Bacteria; Pseudomonadati; Pseudomonadota; Alphaproteobacteria. The record is from RNAcentral.
AACGAACGCUGGCGGCAUGCCUAACACAUGCAAGUCGAACGAGAACGCACCUUCGGGUGUUAGUAGAGUGGCGCACGGGUGAGUAACGCGUGGGAACCUGCCAAGCAGUAUGGAAUAACGUUUGGAAACGAACGCUAAUACCGUAUACGCCCCCCUUUGGAGACAUUGGGGGGGAAAGAUUUAUCGCUGUUUGAUGGUCCCGCGUCUGAUUAGCUUGUUGGUAAGGUAACGGCUUACCAAGGCGACGAUCAGUAGCUGGUCUGAGAGGAUGAUCAGCCACACUGGGACUGAGACACGGCCCAGACUCCUACGGGAGGCAGCAGUGGG